This 790-nucleotide ribosomal RNA is filed under the name uncultured bacterium. Its description in RNAcentral is "bacterial SSU rRNA". It matches the Rfam family "Bacterial small subunit ribosomal RNA", at positions 59 to 824 of the family's 1533-position model. The record is from RNAcentral.
CAGUCGACGAGACUUUUUAUUUGAUGCUUGCAUCUUUUAAAAAGUUGAGUGGCGAACGGGUGAGUAACACGUGGGUAACCUGCCUUAAAGUGGGGGAUAACACUUGGAAACAGGUGCUAAUACCGCAUAACCAUCAAAACCGCCUGGUUUUGAUGUUAAAGAUGGUUCUGCUAUCGCUUUAAGAUGGACCCGCGGCGUAUUAGCUAGUUGGUGAGGUAAUGGCUUACCAAGGCAAUGAUACGUAGCCGAACUGAGAGGUUGAUCGGCCACAUUGGGACUGAGACACGGCCCAAACUCCUACGGGAGGCAGCAGUAGGGAAUCUUCCACAAUGGACGAAAGUCUGAUGGAGCAACGCCGCGUGAGUGAAGAAGGUUUUCGGAUCGUAAAACUCUGUUGUCAGAGAAGAACGUGUGUGAGAGUAACUGUUCACGCAGUGACGGUAUCUGACCAGAAAGUCACGGCUAACUACGUGCCAGCAGCCGCGGUAAUACGUAGGUGGCAAGCGUUGUCCGGAUUUAUUGGGCGUAAAGGGAACGCAGGCGGUCUUUUAAGUCUGAUGUGAAAGCCUUCGGCUUAACCGAAGUCGGGCAUUGGAAACUGGGAGACUUGAGUGCAGAAGAGGAGAGUGGAACUCCAUGUGUAGCGGUGAAAUGCGUAGAUAUAUGGAAGAACACCAGUGGCGAAAGCGGCUCUCUGGUCUGUAACUGACGCUGAGGUUCGAAAGCGUGGGUAGCAAACAGGAUUAGAUACCCUGGUAGUCCACGCCGUAGACGAUGAAUGCUAAGUGUU